This 220-nucleotide ribosomal RNA is filed under the name uncultured bacterium. Its description in RNAcentral is "partial 16S ribosomal RNA". It matches the Rfam family "Bacterial small subunit ribosomal RNA", at positions 57 to 305 of the family's 1533-position model. The record is from RNAcentral.
GCAAGUCGAGCGCACCCUUCGGGGCGAGCGGCGGACGGGUUAGUAACGCGUGGGAACGUACCCAGAUCUACGGAAUAGCCUCGGGAAACUGAGAGUAAUACCGUAUACGCCCUUCGGGGGAAAGAUUUAUCGGAUUUGGAUCGGCCCGCGUUAGAUUAGUUAGUUGGUGGGGUAACGGCCUACCAAGACUACGAUCUAUAGCUGGUUUUAGAGGAUGAUC